This 256-nucleotide ribosomal RNA is filed under the name uncultured Gardnerella sp. Its description in RNAcentral is "partial 16S ribosomal RNA". It matches the Rfam family "Bacterial small subunit ribosomal RNA", at positions 99 to 356 of the family's 1533-position model. The record is from RNAcentral. Lineage: Bacteria; Bacillati; Actinomycetota; Actinomycetes; Bifidobacteriales; Bifidobacteriaceae.
CGAACGGGUGAGUAAUGCGUGACCAACCUGCCCCAUGCUCCAGAAUAGCUCUUGGAAACGGGUGGUAAUGCUGGAUGCUCCAACUUGACGCAUGUCUUGUUGGGAAAGUGUUUAGUGGCAUGGGAUGGGGUCGCGUCCUAUCAGCUUGUAGGCGGGGUAAUGGCCCACCUAGGCUUCGACGGGUAGCCGGCCUGAGAGGGCGGACGGCCACAUUGGGACUGAGAUACGGCCCAAACUCCUACGGGAGGCAGCAGCG